Molecule: RNA transcript, 5353 nt
Organism: Balaenoptera acutorostrata (minke whale)
Lineage: Eukaryota; Metazoa; Chordata; Mammalia; Artiodactyla; Balaenopteridae
Gene: ABLIM3
Gene name: actin binding LIM protein family member 3
Exons: 20
Source: RefSeq, a predicted model, not a curated record
CCCCUGCGCAGCCACCCCGAGAGCCCGCAUCAUGGAUGUCGAGCUCUCCUAUUUCGCUUUGCUCGCCUUGGAAUUCGAGACCCCAGACGAGGACCAGGAUUCAUGAACCGGUCGCAGGGGCCCGGGCAGGGGCCUCUGGCUCCCGACGCUGGCCGAGAGGUGAUGAGUGAGGUCGGAAGAUCGCAAGAUCUAAAAAGCAUCUGGAGUCUCCGUAUUGAAAGACCCAGUGCAAAGGCAUCACCAUGAACACGAGCAUUCCUUAUCAGCAGAACCCUUACAAUCCCCGGGGCAGCUCCAGUGUCAUCCAGUGCUAUCGAUGUGGAGACACCUGCAAAGGGGAGGUGGUUCGCGUCCACAAUAACCAUUUCCACAUCAGAUGCUUCACCUGUCAAGUGUGUGGCUGUGGCCUGGCUCAGUCAGGCUUCUUCUUCAAGAACCAGGAGUACAUCUGCACCCAGGACUACCAGCAACUCUACGGCACUCGCUGUGACAGCUGCCGGGACUUUAUCACGGGCGAGGUCAUCUCUGCGCUGGGCCGCACCUACCACCCCAAGUGCUUCGUGUGCAGCUUGUGCAGGAAGCCUUUCCCCAUUGGAGACAAGGUGACCUUCAGCGGGAAGGAAUGUUUGUGUCAGACAUGCUCCCAGUCCAUGACGAGCAGUAAGCCCAUCAAGAUCCGUGGACCAAGCCACUGCGCUGGGUGCAAGGAGGAGAUCAAGCAUGGCCAGUCGCUCCUGGCUCUGGACAAGCAGUGGCACGUCAGCUGCUUCAAAUGCCAGACCUGCAGCAUCAUCCUCACCGGGGAGUACAUCAGCAAGGAUGGCGUUCCAUACUGCGAGUCUGACUACCACUCCCAGUUUGGCAUUAAGUGCGAGACUUGUGACCGAUACAUCAGCGGCAGGGUCUUGGAGGCAGGAGGGAAGCACUACCACCCAACCUGUGCCAGAUGUGUACGCUGCCACCAGAUGUUCACCGAAGGAGAGGAGAUGUACCUCACAGGCUCUGAGGUUUGGCACCCCAUCUGCAAACAGGCAGCCCGGGCAGAGAAGAAGUUAAAGCAUAGGCGGACGUCUGAAACUUCCAUCUCACCCCCUGGAUCUAGCAUCGGGUCACCCAACCGAGUCAUCUGCGACAUCUAUGAGAACCUGGACCUCCGGCAGAGACGGGCCUCCAGCCCGGGAUACAUCGACUCCCCCACCUACGGCCGGCAGGGCAUGUCCCCCACCUUCUCCCGCUCACCUCAUCACUAUUACCGCUCCGGGCCCGAGAGUGGCCGGAGCUCUCCAUACCAUAGCCAGUUAGAUGUGAGGUCCUCCACUCCGACCUCUUACCAGGCUCCCAAGCACUUUCACAUCCCAGCUGGAGAAAGUAACAUCUACCGGAAACCCCCGAUCUACAAACGGCAUGGUGAUUUGUCGACAGCAACCAAGAGCAAAACAAGUGAAGACAUCAGCCAGGCCUCCAAGUACAGUCCAGCCUACUCGCCAGACCCCUACUAUGCUGCGGAGUCUGAGUACUGGACCUACCACGGGUCCCCCAAAGUGCCCCGAGCCAGAAGGUUCUCGUCUGGAGGAGAGGAGGACGAUUUUGACCGCAGCAUGCACAAGCUCCAGAGUGGAAUUGGCCGACUAAUUCUGAAGGAAGAGAUGAAGGCCCGGUCCAGUUCCUACGCGGAUCCCUGGACCCCACCCCGGAGCUCCACCAGCAGCCGAGAGGCCCUGCACACAGCUGGCUAUGAUAUGUCCCUAAAUGGCUCCCCUCGGUCCCACUACCUGGCUGACAGCGACCCCCUCAUCUCCAAAUCUGCCUCCCUGCCUGCCUACAGAAGAAACGGGCUGCACAGGACACCCAGCGCAGACCUAUUCCAUUACGACAGCAUGAACGCUGUCAACUGGGGCAUGCGAGGUGAGUGCCGGCCUCUCCUGGGACUUCACAGGGACCUCAUUAUAAUGCGCUGCUCAUAAUAGCCCCUUUGACAAAUGAUUCUGGUCCCACGCUGGGCUCUGUGCAAACCCCGAGUUCCCUUUCACUUCCCAUUCCCUCCCUUUUCCCCUGCUCUUCUCUCAUCCUCUCAAGUCCCGGGCCUUGGGUGAUCUCCAGGCCAUCUGUCCCAUCUGGAUUCCCAGAGCCAUCACAGAGUGCUUGCUAUUCUCCCAGUACUGCUGAGCUAGAGUUGCCUGCCAGCCCCGGGUGGAGGGAAAUACUCAGAGCCAAAUGCACAUUGUUCCCAGAAAAAAUUCCAUGAGCCUCAUGCUCUCUUCCCGUGAUGCUCUCCCACCAGCCUCUUCCAGCUCCUACAAGCAGGCUCAGGCAGGAAGGCAGGCCCACAGCAAACCCUGGAGGAUUCCCCCCAGAAGAUGAAGGAUCUCACCCAUGUGCUUCAUGGUCCCAGACUCUUCUUGUUUCUAUUAUAAAUGUCUCAAAAGUCAUUUUCCCCCUAAAAACCUAUCUCUGGAUCAGCCCAACCCCUUUCUCCAUUGUGUUCAAACCAGCCUUGAUUUGGGAUGAAUUCAAUAAGGACAGGGUCUCUAUGACAGAGGCCAGUGUAGUGAUGCAAAGCAAAGACUGAUGGUUGCUACUUUGUGUGUGUCUCUUUUCUCUCUACAGAGUACAAGGUAAAGAUACACAGACCCUGGGGGUCUCCGGGACCCUGCAUGUUGCUACACUGGGGACCAGCAGGAAGAUGACAGCACUGUCUAUGCCGGGAAGGGAACAUCGAUAAAUAACCCCAAGGGUCCUCUCAAGACUAGUAUUUCCAGUCCCUCCUUGGCUCAGUUUCCCUGAAUCCUGCCCUACAUCUCUUGCCUCCUGAAACCAGACAGUUCCCCCGGGCCUCGGAGACUCUCUAGAGGCUUGCCAAUCACAGAUAUGAGACAUUUACACUCAGGAGCCCUUGUGCUCACAUUAAGGCCAAAUGCAACCAAGCGCAUCCCUGGCAGUAUUCAAGGACUCCAGGGCCUUGCCUUUUGGGAGAAGGUGCCUUGAGGCUGCCAGGAAACCCCAAAGAGGACAUACUCGGCCCUUCCUCCAGACUUUAAUCUCUGGCUCUUUCUGGACAGAGGAGGGAGCCCCAGCCAGACACAAAAUAUGUCUGAAGGGACAAGCCCGCCACCCUAACCCAACCUACAAAUAUCCCCCCUCCUCUCUUCUUAGAUCUACCCUUAUGAACUGCUCCUGGUGACCACAAGAGGGAGAAACCGACUGCCCAAGGAUGUGGAUCGGACGCGUUUAGAGCGCCACCUGUCCCAGGAAGAGUUCUACCAAGUCUUCGGCAUGACCAUCUCCGAGUUUGACCGGCUGGCCCUCUGGAAGAGGAAUGAACUGAAGAAGCAAGCCCGGCUGUUCUAGGCAGAAGCUCUAUAAAUAUAUAUGCAUUUAUAUAAAGAUAUAUGUAAAAUCUCUAUACUGAAGCUCGGUAUAAUCCUCUCUUGUGUAAUGGGACACACUGCCUGCCAUGAGACUUGCUUUUCUGUAUCGUCAGGCAAGCCCACAUCUUCAAGAUAUUUUUAUGCUCCUUCCUUUCUCUUUUCUAAGUGCAAUGGGAUUUGGGAAGGGAUUCGUGGGGACUCCCAUCCUUUUACUGGGAAGCCUUUUUAUACUGAAACAUCUCUCCUGACUUGAGUCCCCUAAGGUCCAACUCUCUUUGCUAAAGGAGGUGCCUGAAGGAGUCUCUCUUCUCUCUGCUUCUCGGCUCUUUUCCCCAGUCUCCAGGGAGGAUGCUGCAGUUUUCACACCUUAUUGGCCCCAGAGGGGCCCUCUCAUGGGAGGAUCCACAGCAUUCUCCCCAAGUCACUGAGCACCUUUGAAAGCCCUGAAGAAUUUUCUCAUCACCCCCGCUAGGACCUCAAUGCUGUCUGGGGGUGAUGCAGCUAGAAAUGUGGGUUUCAUGUCUACUCGUUACAGAAGUAAACAAGUGGAUAGGGCCUUGGCCUCUCCUCUCCUCUUCAAUCCUCCUUCUAUCCUUGAUCCUCACCUCUCUCUAAUCCAAAUCUACGCCUCAUGGUAGGAAAAGAAAAAGCACUUCCCUUCCCUGCACUAUUACUUCCAAUGGCCCCCUUCCUGGCCCCUAUGUGGAGACCCAGAGGGAGGGAGCAGGAGCUGGAAGCAGGAGACAGAGCAGGGCACCCGUUAGCAUUGGAGCUGCAGGACCUCUUGGGACCCUCCCUCAUUGCUCCCAGAACCUCCUGACCCUUCCCCCUUUGGAGGAGAGGCCCAUUAUUGCAGCCUGUAUUUUUCAGCCUUACUACAAUCUAUGUGCCUGACAACUCACCACAGGGCUAAUGUUCCCACCACAGCUCCAACCGAACAACUAGACAGACAACCUCUAACACCCCUGCCAAAGGUAAUAUAGGCCAUGUCCUAUAGAAAGUUUCCUGGCCUAUGUCUUCUGGUCCCUGGGCUGGCAGAGCAACCCAACCAGACCCCCACCAGUCCUCAGCUUGCAUUGCAAAGUUGGCCAUGGUUCAUGGGGGAAACUUUUGAAGAAUGACUACUUAUGAGAUUCCAAAAUGGAGCACUGGCCAACACCACUCAUGGUCAUACUGAUUUCCCCAGUGGCUGCCUUUCCUGCCUCCUUGGCUUCUGGAACAGGGGUGAAAGCUUAACCUUCUCCCCACCCCAAACCUGCAACCACGAGUUGGUGAUGUCUGGUGGGGUCUGUUCCUUCCUGGAGAUGGCUGGAGUCAGACCACUGAGGUCAUGGAGGAAGGAUGAAGAAGUGGAGAUGACAGUUAUCACUCUCAAGAGGUUAUGUGUGGUGGCAAAUGUAGAACUGACUUCAACUCAACAAACCCUCACUGAGCACCUGCUGUAUACUGAGCACCUGCUGUAUACUGAGCACUAAAUGGGGGAGGGAGACGGAAAUACUGGGAUGAGCAGCAUUGGGCCCGACCUCAGGGGCAUGCCUACUAACAAUGGGUACCGUAAGGCAGGUACUCAAACAUGAUGGAUGUGAGGCAGAAAGUGAUAGGAGACAGCAUGAGAAAAUGUGACAUUACUAAGAAGGCAUAUGCAGCUGGUGCAGACCAAGGAAAGCUUUCUGGAAGAGACUGCAUUUGAGCAAAGUUCAGGAAGGAUCUUUGUAAACUGGGAGGAGACUGUAACUUGAAAGGGUGAUAGGAUGAGGGGCCAUAAGGGAGGUCUAAUAUGCUCUCACUUAAAAUGUCAGCCCUCUCUGCGUCUUUUCUUUUUGGCCAAUGUCUUUCAACUGUCCUGACCCCUUUGGAAAUGUCCCCAGCCAGACACAAUCAUUGAAACUGCCUCAUUAUCACUGGUUGAGAACUUGGCGAGAUUGAAGGGCUUUUGUUAUUGUUGGAUUUUUUUUUCCCAUAAAUGCACAUAAUUUCAACCCAGA